GUCUGUGUGUGUCUGUGUGUGUGUGUGUGUGUGUGUGUGUGUCUCCGGCUGUUCCAGCCAGUGGUGUUUUGUCCACAUUUUUUGGCACAGAGGAGCUGGAAAUUGGGAACACCCUUGACGUCCAUCAACCAAUGGAUAAACAAGGAAAAUGUGGUACAUUUACACAAUAGAAUAUUAUUCAGCUGUUCUGAAAAUGAAGCUAUAAGGUUUGCAGAUAAACGGAUGGAACUAGAAACAGUCAUCCUGAGCGAGGCAGAAUAACCACAGAGAUUGGGGACCUAGUAAGGCGCCAGGGAUAGAGGAGCUAUCCUGAGGAAGAGGAUGGAGAGAACGCUUCAAUAGUGCCUGGAGGAAAGAAGACUGCUUGCUGCGUUUGCUGGUUUGCUGGUUACCUGGACAGCCGGAUAUCCUGACCACUGAGACUGGUGUUGCCCCAAAGAGAACAAGAUGAACCUUCUUUCUCUCCUACCUAUGGCUGGGGGGUUGGAAGGGAGGUCACGGCUUUAGGGACCCCCAAAUAGAGUUUAAAAAUUGGCACCUACAGGUUAAAAAAACAGCCCUAACAAGUGGCACUCGACAUGGUCGGUGAGAAACUCUAUUAAAAUAGAUAAAAAAGGCUACACACUGAUGUGAGUAGGAACUCACAGAAAUAGUGGCAGCAUGCACGAGACCUGCACAGGGUUAAGCCAGAUGGGGUUCUAUCAUGGAGAGAGAGAGCUGAGCGCAGGGUCCCACCAGAAACAAGAAGCUGUUUGCAAUCGAUGCCUGAUUUCCAAGAGAAAAUCAGUUUCCACUAAUAGAGUGUCACUGAGCAUAUCAACCGUACUCCAGGACAGGCCCCAUGUCCAGUGGUUAGCCAACACAAA
Meriones unguiculatus (Mongolian gerbil) is the source of this 866-nucleotide long non-coding RNA. RefSeq lists it as uncharacterized. The transcript has 3 exons. The record is from RefSeq and is a predicted model, not a curated record. Lineage: Eukaryota; Metazoa; Chordata; Mammalia; Rodentia; Muridae.